UGGGGAAUUUUGGACAAUGGGGGCAACCCUGAUCCAGCAAUGCCGCGUGUGUGAAGAAGGCCUUCGGGUUGUAAAGCACUUUUGUCCGGAAAGAAAACGCCGUGGUUAAUACCCGUGGCGGAUGACGGUACCGGAAGAAUAAGCACCGGCUAACUACGUGCCAGCAGCCGCGGUAAUACGUAGGGUGCAAGCGUUAAUCGGAAUUACUGGGCGUAAAGCGUGCGCAGGCGGUCCGCUAAGACAGAUGUGAAAUCCCCCGGGCUUAACCUGGGAACUGCAUUUGUGACUGGCGGGCUAGAGUAUGGCAGAGGGGGGUANAAUUCCACGUGUAGCAGUGAAAUGCGUAGAGAUGUGGAGGAAUACCGAUGGCGAAGGCAGCCCCCUGGGCCAAUACUGACGCUCAUGCACGAAAGCGUGGGGGAGCAAACAGGAUUAGAUACCCUGGUAGUCCACGCCCUAAACGAUGUCAACUAGUUGUCGGGUCUUCAUUGACUUGGUAACGUAGCUAACGCGUGAAGUUGACCGCCUGGGGAGUACGGUCGCAAGAUUAAAACUCAAAUGAAUUGACGGGGUCUGCUGUUUUCCUG
Molecule: ribosomal RNA, 587 nt
Filed under: uncultured bacterium
Lineage: Bacteria
Description: partial 16S ribosomal RNA
Rfam family: Bacterial small subunit ribosomal RNA
Source: RNAcentral